UAUUGCACAAUGGGCGCAAGCCUGAUGCAGUCAUGCCGCGUGUAUGAAGAAGGCCUUCGGGUUGUAAAGUACUUUCAGCGGGGAGGAAGGGAGUAACGUUAAUACCGUCGCGCAUUGACGUUCCCCGCAGAAGAAGUACCGCCUAACUCCGUGCCAGCAGCCGCGGUAAUACGGAGGGUGCAAACGUUAAUCGGAAUUACUGGGCGUAAAGCGCACGCAGGCGGUUUGUUAAGUCAGAUGUGAAAUCCCCGGGCUCAACCUGGGAACUGCAUCUGAUACUGGCAAGCUUGAGUCUCGUAGAGGGGGGUAGAAUUCCAGGUGUAGCGGUGAAAUGCGUAGAGAUCUGGAGGAAUACCGGUGGCGAAGGCGCCCCCCUGGACGAAGACUGACGCUCAGGUGCGAAAGCGUGGGGAGCAAACAGG
This 422-nucleotide ribosomal RNA is filed under the name uncultured bacterium. RNAcentral describes it as "bacterial SSU rRNA". It matches the Rfam family "Bacterial small subunit ribosomal RNA", at positions 362 to 776 of the family's 1533-position model. The record is from RNAcentral.